UAUUGCUGCCCUCCGCUGUUCUCUAAUCGCUAUUCACAACUUGAUUAAAAGUAAUUUACCUGUCUUGUAGAUUUCUACCGCCCAAAAUAUACACGCAUAUUCACUUCCGGUUAUUGAUGGCGUUUUGGUUUGUUGCAACCAACAGUCUACAACUUGAAACACCCGUUAAAUUGUGCAGCCUUUGGGUUCGUUUCAUAAAUGAGUGUUGUGGAAUCUGGAAAUAAGUUCAAAUCGGCGACUGCAACAGGAGCGAUACUGGAGAGCAGCAACUGGUUCGUUCGCCUCGCUGGUGCUGCUGCUGCAACAUCUACAACCGACGGAGGAGAACGGGCUGACCGACACAAUUCACGUGUAAUCUUGGUGGAAUAACGCGCGUUGAGCUGCUUUUACACAUUUUUACAGGCUUUACAGUACUUGGAGAGCAGAUCUUCUUCGCCAAUGGCAAGUCCGGUUGCAGACAUAGGACAGUCUCAUCAGCAUCACCCUGUGACCGACUCGGCCACAGACUCCGCGUUCCAGGAGGCGCAGACAUGGAUAGAGAGAACCAGAUGACUCAGGUCCGCCAUGAAUGGAGGCUUUUAGAACUGAGUGGGAUGCCUUUCAUUGUUUUGCACACGCACACACACACACACACACACACACACACACACACACACACACACACACACACACACACACACACAGGAUUCUAUGAACACUCAGCCCGGCAUUCCUGAGCCCACACACACAUACUCACACAAGCAUACAGACAUACUCACGGAGCUCCCCAGCUGGUCGCCCCCCAACAACAAUGCAUGCUGUCACCACACUCUGGAAAGAGACACAAUCGACCCUCAGCUGACUGGCAUUUGUCUGGACAGGGCUG
Molecule: long non-coding RNA, 865 nt
Filed under: Sander lucioperca (pikeperch)
Lineage: Eukaryota; Metazoa; Chordata; Actinopteri; Perciformes; Percidae
Description: lncRNA (ENSSLUG00000006877.1)
Source: RNAcentral